AAUAUUGCGCAAUGGGGGGAACCCUGACGCAGCAACGCCGCGUGAGUGACGAAGGUUNNNGGAUCNUCAAGCUCUGUCAUCGGNGACNAAUUUAUGACGGUACCCAAGAAGGAAGCCCCGGCUAACUACGUGCCAGCAGCCGCGGUAAUACGUAGGGGGCGAGCGUUGUCCGGAAUUACUGGGGGUAAAGGGUGCGUAGGCGGCUAUAUAAGUCAGAUGUGAAAUACCAGGGCUUAACUCUGGGGGUGCAUUUGAAACUGUGUAGCUUGAGUGCAGGAGAGGAAAGUGGAAUUCCUAGUGUAGCGGUGAAAUGCGUAGAGAUUAGGAGGAACACCAGUGGCGAAGGCGACUUUCUGGACUGUAACUGACGCUGAUGCACGAAAGCGUGGGGAGCAAACA
This 399-nucleotide ribosomal RNA is filed under the name uncultured bacterium. RNAcentral describes it as "partial 16S ribosomal RNA". It matches the Rfam family "Bacterial small subunit ribosomal RNA", at positions 360 to 774 of the family's 1533-position model. The record is from RNAcentral.